UCUUGGUCAUUUAGAGGAAGUAAAAGUCGUAACAAGGUCUCCGUAGGUGAACCUGCGGAGGGAUCAUUACACAAAUAUGAAGGCGGGCUGGAACCUCUCGGGGUUACAGCCUUGCUGAAUUAUUCACCCUUGUCUUUUGCGUACUUCUUGUUUCCUUGGUGGGUUCGCCCACCACUAGGACAAACAUAAACCUUUUGUAAUUGCAAUCAGCGUCAGUAACAAAUUAAUAAUUACAACUUUCAACAACGGAUCUCUUGGUUCUGCAUCGAUGAAGAACGCAGCCCCCCCGUGCCCCCGCCCCGCCCGCCGCGCGCGGCGGGCG
Molecule: ribosomal RNA, 322 nt
Filed under: uncultured fungus
Lineage: Eukaryota; Fungi
Description: partial 18S ribosomal RNA
Rfam family: Eukaryotic small subunit ribosomal RNA (bases 1-69)
Source: RNAcentral